GAUUAGAUAGUUUAUUUAGAAUAGCAGUUUGUGGUACUGUUGGUGGGUUGAUCCCUUUAAUUU
RNAcentral lists this transfer RNA (63 nucleotides) under Phaenacantha marcida. Its description in RNAcentral is "tRNA-His". Lineage: Eukaryota; Metazoa; Arthropoda; Insecta; Hemiptera; Colobathristidae. The record is from RNAcentral.